RNAcentral lists this ribosomal RNA (1299 nucleotides) under uncultured bacterium. Its description in RNAcentral is "partial 16S ribosomal RNA". It matches the Rfam family "Bacterial small subunit ribosomal RNA", at positions 91 to 1399 of the family's 1533-position model. The record is from RNAcentral.
GAGAGUGGCGCACGGGUGCGUAACGCGUAUGCAACCAACCCCCGACAGGGAGAUAGCCGGUGGAAACGCCGGGUAACCCCCCAUAGUCCCCAUGGAGGGCAUCCUUCCUGGGGUAUAGCUACUGCGGUCGGGGACGGGCAUGCUUCCCAUUAUGUGGUAGGCGGGGUCACGGCCCACCUAGCUUACGAUGGGUAGGGGAUCUGAGAGGACGGUCCCCCACACUGGUACUGAGACACGGCCCAAACUCCUACGGGAGGCAGCAGUGGGGGAUAUUGGUCAAUGGGGGAAACCCUGAACCAGCGACGCCGCGUGAGUGAAGAAGUAUUUCGGUAUGUAAAGCUCUAUCAGCAGGGAAGAAAAAAUCAAAAUUGACAGUACCUGACUAAGAAGCCCCGGCUAACUACGUGCCAGCAGCCGCGGUAAUACGUAGGGGGCAAGCGUUAUCCGGAUUUACUGGGUGUAAAGGGAGUGUAGGCGGCGAAGCAAGUCAGAUGUGAAAGCCCGGGGCUCAACUCCGGGACUGCAUUUGAAACUGUUUUGCUAGAGUGUCGGAGAGGUCAGUGGAAUUCCUAGUGUAGCGGUGAAAUGCGUAGAUAUUAGGAAGAACACCAGUGGCGAAGGCGGUCUACUGGACAGUAACUGACGCUGAGGCGCGAAAGCGUGGGGAGCAAACAGGAUUAGAUACCCUGGUAGUCCACGCCGUAAGCGAUGAAUACUAGGUGUGGGGGGACUGACCCCCUCCGUGCCGCAGUUAACACAAUAAGUAUUCCACCUGGGGAGUACGGCCGCAAGGUUGAAACUCAAAGGAAUUGACGGGGGCCCGCACAAGCGGAGGAACAUGUGGUUUAAUUUGAUGAUACGCGAGGAACCUUACCCGGGCUCGAACGGCAAGUGAAGAGAUCCAGAGAUGGUGACGCCCUUCGGGGCACUUGUCGAGGUGCUGCAUGGUUGUCGUCAGCUCGUGUCGUGAGAUGUUGGGUUAAGUCCCGCAACGAGCGCAACCCUUGUCGUUAGUUACCAUCAGGUAAAGCUGGGGACUCUAACGAGACUGCCACCGCAAGGUGUGAGGAAGGCGGGGAGGACGUCAAAUCAGCACGGCCCUUACGUCCGGGGCGACACACGUGUUACAAUGGUAGCUACAGAGGGAAGCCACCUGGUGACAGGGAGCAGAUCUCGAAAAGCUAUCUCAGUUCGGAUUGGAGUGUGCAACUCGACUCCAUGAAGCUGGAUUCGCUAGUAAUCGCGCAUCAGCCAUGGCGCGGUGAAUACGUUCCCGGGCCUUGUACUCACCGCCCGUCA